This 467-nucleotide ribosomal RNA is filed under the name uncultured bacterium. Its description in RNAcentral is "partial 16S ribosomal RNA". It matches the Rfam family "Bacterial small subunit ribosomal RNA", at positions 28 to 507 of the family's 1533-position model. The record is from RNAcentral.
GACGAACGCUGGCGGCGUGCUUAACACAUGCAAGUCGAACGGAAAGGCCCUGCUUUUGUGGGGUGCUCGAGUGGCGAACGGGUGAGUAACACAUGAGUAACCUGCCCUUGACUUUGGGAUAACUUCAGGAAACUGGGGCUAAUACCGGAUAGGAGCUCCUGCUGCAUGGUGGGGGUUGGAAAGUUUCGGCGGUUGGGGAUGGACUCGCGGCUUAUCAGCUUGUUGGUGGGGUAGUGGCUUACCAAGCUUUGACGGGUAGCCGGCCUGAGAGGGUGACCGGCCACAUUGGGACUGAGAUGCGGCCCAGACUCCUACGGGAGGCAGCAGUGGGGAAUAUUGCACAAUGGGCGGAAGCCUGAUGCAGCAACGCCGCGUGCGGGAUGACGGCCUUCGGGUUGUAAACCGCUUUCGCCUGUGACGAAGCGUGAGUGACGGUAAUGGGUAAAGAAGCACCGGCUAACUACGUG